CGUUGAGCUAAGCGGUACUAAUGAACCGUGAGGCUUAACCUUACAACGCCGAAG
Molecule: ribosomal RNA, 54 nt
Filed under: Escherichia coli
Lineage: Bacteria; Pseudomonadati; Pseudomonadota; Gammaproteobacteria; Enterobacterales; Enterobacteriaceae
Description: partial 23S ribosomal RNA
Source: RNAcentral